This is a long non-coding RNA of Pezoporus flaviventris, 2490 nucleotides long. RefSeq lists it as uncharacterized. The record is from RefSeq and is a predicted model, not a curated record. The transcript has 3 exons. Lineage: Eukaryota; Metazoa; Chordata; Aves; Psittaciformes; Psittacidae.
AAAGAUGGCUGGCAGACCAGAGUGAAGAAAAAUGUGAAGAAGCCAAGACAUGAAUUAUGCAAACCAGGUGAAUACCACAAGCAGUCUUCAUCUGAGACACUUGGAGCUCCUCCAGGGAACACAGGUCACUUUCCCUGGUCAGCCAUCGAUCAGAUCACCUUGGGGAAUGGAAUAUUCAACAUUUUAAAACCAGCUAUCAUUGCUGAAGCAAAAAGUUGGCUCCAGUAUGAAUUUGCAACUGCAGAUUUGUAAAGAAAACAUACAUACAGUAUCACUGAGACAAGUGUACUGCAGGCAGUGAGGCACUGGACAGAGACAGGUUUCUUGGGUUUUAAAAAUAGAUUCUUGGCAAAUCCAGGUCUAGUCCUGGCAACACAGCCACAGAUUGCAGGAGUGAAACUGGGCCCAGGCCAGCAGUGUGGCACAGCCAGCUAAACUCCAUGGCCUUUGAAACUGAGGUCUGAAUUUUGCUGCUUGUGGCCAUCUCUACACGCAUACAGACUCUUUGGUCUUCUGUGUCUGUGCUGCCUCUGGCUCACCCUAGCUACAUGCAGGCCUUUGUUCUGGCUUUUGGCCUUCAUGCUCUUCAUCUCAGACUGCCGCUUCACCCCUGCUCCAGGAUGCUUCCCAGGUAUUUAAUGGCCAUGUUUUCACAGCUGCCCAUUAUCCCUAUUUUGCAGAUACAUGACUAAAAUCCAUGAAAGAAAUGUGAGAUUAAGCUAGAAAUAACAUUUUUAAUAUUCAUUAUCCCCGUCUAACAUACCAAGCACCUCCCCACUAUAUGUCUACUAUAUGUUUGGGUUCCCCACAUAUGUGUACUGUGUGUUUGGGUUUCCCAGGUGGCCUCUAUCAAGCCUGGAAGUGUGAUCUGGAUGAAUUUUGGACGCUGAAGAGGGCUUUCUUCAGGCAGGCCAGUCUCAUUAGCUUUUGCUGGGCACCUGUAAAUCUUGCAUGCAGCCACUGCGCAUACUAUAAUAUCCUGUACUCAGAUAUGUACAGUAAAUCUGACUGUACCAUCUGGCCCAUUGAAUAACAGACAUCUAAAUUGACACGUUGGAUAUACAUGGAGAAGAAUUAGGACAUACUGAACACUGCCCUACUCUGGCAUGACCACUGAAAGUAUAGUCUAGUCCAGUUAGAAUGGCCUUUAGUUUAGGCCCCUAAUUUAUCCUUGAGAUGGGAUCUUUGUUUCUGAAGUUGCCAAUCCAGGUGAUUAAGUGUGAGUGUGUAUGUAAUGAUUCAGGAAUUGCAUGAAAUAUUCUUCUAACCUAAGUAAAGGAAUCAGCUUUGACUAGAACCUAUAUACAAAAUUUUACUAAGACAAGGCACAUUUCCCAAAUAACUUUAUGCCUUCCUACGCAAAGGUCUAUUAACUCAGUAAUACAGGUUAUGAAAAUGUUGAGAAUUUAAAUGCAUUAUUAUACCUGUAUAUUUUUGUGAACAUUUGUGCUAAUAGAAUUCCGAGUGUUCAGCAAUGAGGUCCAUUUCAAAAGCAUGUGAAUACUCAUUAGUGGUUUUUUGUGUUAUUCUUCUAGCUCUUCUUUGGUACAAAGUUUAAACAACAGGAUUAGUACUCAGAAGACACUAAUUAGGGCAUUCUAAAGCUGCUGUAUAAAUUACACACCAUUUUACAUGCUGAAGUAUACUAGUUUCAGAAAGAACUCUAGACAUUCUGCUGCUGUUAAUAACACACCUAACUUUUAAUCCGUUAGUUUUUAUAACAGUACCAGAACGCUAAGAAACUGCCCUUUUUUGUGUGGCUUGGCGAUGUUUGCCCCAAACAUGUUUUUUGCUUACAGAAAUAUCUGCUACAGACACUGCAUCAAAGUGCCAGAGAAAUGUGAGUCAUUUUCUGAUAUCUAGAAAAAUCUGGAUGACUUGGACAAGGAAGCACAUCCUGCCAACAUGACUAUAGCUACAGCAGUCAACAGGUUUAGUACAUUUUAUUCCUCUUUUACUUGAUUAGCUAUAGAGUUUAUACUUUGUCCUCUGUGGAUCAAAUACCUAAACAAGUUUUGACAUUCCAAUGUUAUUCUAGCCAACACGCUUUUAACAAUUUCAUAGGGGAAUAAAAGUGCUUAAAAGGGACUGUUUGAUAGCCCAGUGAUUCUGCAAACAGCAAGUGGGACAAGUGGACAGAGGUGAUAUUUCCUCUUCUUUCAAUUGGUUUUGGUUUCUCCUUAACUAGCCUGUUUAUCACAAGUCACAUCAUUCAGUGGAGAUUGCAGGUCCCUGUACUUGCAGAAUUUUGUGUAGUUGGUGUGGUUUGGGGUUUUCUUCAGAUUAGGAAUAAAUCACAAGUCAUCUCGAUUUUCACCAUCAGCACUGUUUUAUCUGUGAUGAUGGACUUCCUGCCUCUGGCCUUCAGCUUAAACACAUUUGAAAGUACGAAGAAGGUGGCUCCCCAGGGGCUUAGUUGUCUCAACAAUCUAAAUGGAUGAAAUGUACUGCAACUGUUCAGCUGGGCUCAUAUGGAAGGUGGCUUCCAGG